AGGAGACGGCGGAGGGGAGGAGCAGAGCCGAGGGCGGGCGCCAGCGCCGAGCCGAGGAUCGCUGCCUGGCUGGGACUGAGCCUUGGCAUUUCGGUCGCGGCAGCAGGAGUCUCGGCGCGGCGCCUCGAGCAGCAGCAGCAGCAGCGCUGCCCCAGAAGCCGGAGGUGGCGGAGGAGCCCUGCUUGGCCCGGGCGCGCGCCGCUCCCCCUGAAUGACGGGCGGCAGGUUCGACUUCGACGAUGGCGGCACCUACUGCGGCGGCUGGGAGGACGGCAAAGCCCACGGCCACGGCAUUUGCACCGGGCCCAAAGGGCAAGGCGAGUACGCGGGCUCGUGGGCGCACGGCUUCGAGGUGGUGGGCACCUACACCUGGCCCAGCGGCAACACCUACCACGGCUACUGGGCGCAGGGCAAGCGGCACGGGCUGGGAGUGGAGACGAAGGGCAAGUGGAUAUACCGCGGCGAGUGGUCGCACGGCUUCAAGGGCCGCUACGGCGUGCGCCAGAGCCUCACCACCCCUGCGCGCUACGAGGGCACCUGGAGCAACGGGCUGCAGGACGGCUACGGCGUCGAGACCUACGGAGACGGAGGUACAUACCAGGGACAAUGGACAGGAGGGAUGAGACAUGGCUACGGCAUGCGGCAAAGUGUACCCUACGGCAUGGCAACUGUGAUCCGUUCACCCCUCCGGACAUCUUUAGCUUCACUCCGUAGCGAGCAGAGCAAUGGUACUGUUCUACAUGAUAUUACUUCAGACAGUCCGGCUGGAACUAGAGGAGGAUUUGUUCUAAAUUUUCACACUGAUCUUGAAGGUAUUGGUAGUAAGAAAAAAGGAGGCUUGUUCAGAAGAGGAUCCCUUCUGGGUAGUAUAAAACUUAGGAAAUCUGAAUCUAAAUCAUCCAUUUCUAGCAAACGUAGCUCUGUUAGGAGUGAUGCUGCUAUGAGCAGAAUUAGUUCUAGUGAUGCCAAUUCUACUAUUAGUUUUGGGGAUGGGGACUGUGAUUAUUGCCCAGUAGAAGACCAUGUUGAUGCCACCACAACAGAAACGUACAUGGGUGAAUGGAAGAAUGACAAGCGCAAUGGUUUUGGUAUUAGUGAGCGCUCGAACGGCAUGAAAUAUGAAGGAGAGUGGCUAAAUAAUAAGAGACAUGGAUAUGGAUGUACCAUGUUUCCAGAUGGCACCAAGGAAGAGGGAAAGUAUAAAAACAAUGUUUUGGUCCGUGGAAUAAGGAAACAGCUAAUACCAAUAAGGAACACAAAAACUAAAGAAAAAGUGGAUCGGGCCCUAGAAGGUGCCCAGCGUGCAGCUGCCAUGGCAAGAACUAAAGUGGAAAUUGCAACCUCAAGAACUGCACAUGCGAGAGCCAAAGCCGAUGCUGCAGAUCAGGCUUCCCAGUCCGCCCGUCAGGAGUGUGACAUUGCCAGAGCGGUUGCCAGAGAACUUUCCCCAGGCUUCUACCAACCAGGUCCUGAUUAUAUCAAACAACUUCACAGCAUGGAAGUUAAGGAAAACCCUGAAGAAAAAGCUCAGGAGAAACCACCUUCACCAAAAGAAUCCCCCCACUUUUAUCGAAAAGGAACUACACCUCCCGGGACUCCAGGAGAGAGCCCAAGGGAGAGUCCAAUCCUCUCUGCUGAACCUUCCCCUGCAAAACAAAUCAAAAAGCAAAACUCGACAUCAGAGGUUGGACUCAUUCAAGAAAAAAAGAGUUUAGUCACUGAAAAUGUAACACCGAGUAUCAACAAACCUCUUCACUCAAAAGUUCCUAUGAAGGAGGAGGCAAUGGUAAAGCACCAGCCAAAGUUCUCACCCCGCAACAAUCCUAGCAGCACAGAGAAUGGGGAGCUGCAUGAUCAUUACCAUGGGUACUAUGUGAAAACGAAUCCAACUUUGUAUCCAUAUGAGCUUGGGGAAGACGAGGACCAUGCCAACCCAUCAUCUUCAGCACUUGCACUAGUAGCAUCAGCUCAGAAGUCAAGCCCCUCCAAAUCUGGGUUUCAGUUAGAUGCCAAAGAAUUCUUAAAGAAACCUGAUUUUGCUGCACCAAAGAAUCCAGCUAAUAACGACUUCUAUUCGGUGGAAAGAGAAGUCAGUUUGCCUUUUCAGAGGAAGAAAACAUCCAGUGUGCCAAUCCACAGAAAUGAGAACUGCAAAACUAUUGGAGAUAUAAUCCGAUGAGGUUUGAUGGAUUAAUCAGAAGUGCCAGAAAAUGUUUUGAACUAAGUUCUUGGAAUAUUGAAAUGAUUUUUGGCUUAUUUGACAAAAUAUUGUGCCUGCCAUAGAGAGUUUUUGUGCCAGCAUCAGCCAUCUGCCAGAUGGUAACCCUGGCAUAGGUCUUUUCAUGCCAGAUGCCAGAAUAACAUGAUGGCUAGCACAACAUAUUACAACAAGGUAAGUCAUCUCUGAGGCUAUUCCUGAUGCUGAGAAAUUCCCAACAAUCUCCUGGUACAUAAGAAGAUAGGAAGCUGCCCAUGGGCAAAAUAAAUAAAUAAAGAUAAUGUAAUAAUAAUAUAAUCCUGUGUGUCUCGUAUGUAGCUUUCUGUGCCACAUUCCAUUCUGCUCUGGAGGGUUCCCCAACCACCAGGAGUGAAUGGGGGGGCCUGAAAGAUGGGGGAAAUUGCAGGAAAUUGCCUCCAUUUUCAGUCUUCCCGUUAGGUAAGUGUUCACUCUUUCCCACUGGUAGGCCUACUGCAGGUAAAUUUACUGUGACAAAUGCAAUAAAUUUGUGAGUGAGCAUAAUAACUUAUUAGAAAUAGCUGCAUUUUUAAUAGCCCUUAAUAUAUAGGUUUGACUCCCAUCAGCCAUAGGCUCUGUUUAAAAUGUUUUAAAUGGCUUGCUUAAGUGGUGGUUUGCCAAAGCUUUCAAUGAGGACAUAGUGGUCCGCAUAAAGGAAAAAGUUUGGAAGUGCUGCCUUAACUGCUUCUUCUGCAAAUAGAAGACACUUGCGUUUGCACAAGAAGGUGGUAAUUUUCACUGAUCAUUGUUCUCUCAGCAGUGUUCCCAUGUCCUUUGCCCUCCAACUCCAGAAGGUCCAUUAACCCUCAGGAGUUGAUUUUCAAGAAAGUGUGGGAAGUUGCUGUUACAAGGAGGGAGGGUGGAAAUUCCCUUGCAGGGAGAACUUAGAGUUAGGAUAUAACACAGUGUCUGAGCAGCUCAUUUGUAGCAGGUUCAUUAUUAGUCUUUCAAAAUACUUCAGUUGAUUGGUUGAAACUGCAGAGAACAGCCAUCCUGGUACAGAUCAGCAGACCUGAGAUACUACUCAUAGGGAGGUUAAUAUUGCAGCUAAUUAUGCAUUUCUGAGAAUUUGAAUAUUCAGUUAUACCAAUACCCUUUGGUUUCCUUAAGACAAAAUCUCUAGUCACCGAAAAAUUUUAAAAGGAGAAAAUAAGUAGGAUGGCCUCCCUUUUAAACAUAUGAAUGAUAAAGUCUCAUCCAUGUGGCUGGUAUCUUUCUGAAUAUAGUUCCAACAUAGCAUUUGUACUUAUAGUCUGAAUCUGAAGCUAGACAAAUUAUACUUUUAUUUUUAUUUUCAAACUGACAUCCAAUUUCAUGGACCAAACAUGACCUUCAAAUCUCUUUGCUGUGGCUGCAGUCUACAGAAUCUCUUUGUUGUCUAUCAAUUCCUACAGAAUCUCUUUGCUAUGGCUGCAGUCUACAAAUGAUAUCUGAGUAAAUGUGCUUGAGGCUAAGAUGAUUGUUACGAUUUGAUUAUGUGUUCUCAUCACUUUUACAUUCUCAAACAAUCGUCUCUAAGUAAAACGGGUCCUAAUUCAAUCAUGAUUGCCCUGGUAAUGCUGUUGAAUAUUGGUUUAGCCAUUCUUUUUGUCCAUUUUCUAACUUGAUUGGAAUUAGAAAAGUGAAGUCAUGACAACUAGUGGCGUAAGCCCACAAUUCUCGGCAGUUGUGUCAUCAGCCUUUUAAAUGGCACGAGUCAUGUUCAGACACAGGGAAGGAGGCAUGGAAUUAGGAUGGGACACGAGAGAGAGGAAACUUGGAACACUCAGCCAGGGACCUGAUCAGUUCCUCUGCUGAGGAGUUGUGGCUUUGGGAUCUUCUUAAAGCUGAAGCAAGCAGCCAUGUUGGAAAACAAACACAAGCGCGCACACAAAAGCUUGCUGAAGCAGCCCAACAAGUGAAGUGCGUUGGUUACUCCAUCUGUUCCAGCAGAGAGUGUGACUAAACUGGAAAUGUACGGAGCUGCACUUUUGUUGAUGGAAGCUAACAGCUGCCUUACUAUUUUGCCGUCUGAUGUUUUUGGUGGGGGAGAUGGGGAAGCGACUGCCAGAGGAAUGUGGUCAGAGGAUUCUAUUGCUGUGGAAGCGAUUCCAGUAUUCACUCCUAUCUCAUUAGAAGAAAUAGUUAGCAGCAUCACUCACCAGUCUUAUUCCAUUACCUGCUGCUUUUAAAAUCUCCUUGCAGUUUUCUGGAGAUUGUGUUUCAUUUGCUUAUGCAUGAUUCUGUUCAUUUGCUAUUUAUUUAAAACCUGUGUUACAACCAUUAGACAGUAAUGUCAGCCAGCCUGAAAAAUGUCAUUAGUUUUCACCCCAAAUCCAGAAACACAAAAUUAAAGCCUGUAGCGUAUGUGCAGAAUAGAUAUUCUCUUAACACUUUUUUUGUUUUUCCUAUGCUGUUAAAGUUAUCUUCCUUUGAGGGUUAGAAGGCAAUAUGCAACAAUGUUUUUAAAGCCAUUGUGUUUAUCUUCCUUGCAACAGUAGCAGGCAGAAUUAUUCUAAAUGCUGCAAGGUUAACUGGGCUGUAUCAGCAUAAUGGGAAGAGUAAGGUAGAAUAUUUGGAGAAAUGCUGUACCACUGAACUAUUUGGGUCUUAGUUCAUUAAAGAGAAAUUUCACUUGCAUCUGAAGCCUUGCCUGAGUACACAAUAGAAGCUGUUAAUUAAUACCUAUAAUAAAUUAUGGUUUUCAAAAGGCCAAGCUUCACGUUGAAUACAUUCAGGUAGAGCAUAAGUCUGUUAACAAUGACUGAUGAUCAGUUUGAUGCCUUUAAUGUUGUUUAAAUGAGUCUGUAAAAUUACCUCAGCCAGUUAAAACUUAAGCCUCAAAUUCUCACUUGGACUCUUUUGUCUUAACUCGAUUUACAGUCCUGUGUUUUGAUGAUAUGAUUCAUGUUUUCCUCCCCACUGUAGUUGUUGUUUUUCCAUAUUACUCAAAAGCAUGCUUGUUCACUUAUAGGAGAGAAUUGUACAUGGUGUGGUCAUUUUGGAAGUCAGCAUUUUAAUUAGAAACAAAAAGUAAAGGGCUUGGGUUUUGAUUUAUUUUAUCUCUUAGGAACAAAAACACUUUUCAGGUUUUUAUCCUAUUUGUAAAUUAACUACUAUUAUUAUUAUUUAUUAUUAUUUGCAUGGUUUAAUGAAGAGAUUUCAUCAUAACUACAUUAGCUGUCAUAAGAGGCCAGCCCAUCAAGUGGAAAUGGGUAUGGAAUGGAUCUUGUAGCCUGGGUAGGGUCAAUGCCAGGGCAGUAACACAGUGGCAUUUUUUUGCAGAAGGGUGUUGAGAAGCCUGUGUUUUGACCAGUAUGGAACUAAGAAGCAGUCAGCCAGCCAAUGAACUUUUAACAACUUACAUAUUUGUUUUUAAGGAAGAAUAUAUAUAUAUAUUCCUCCUCAAUUUAGAAAAAGUAAUUCUGAAAUGAAGAAUCAGGUUUUUUAAUUAUAACAAGUCUUGAUGUCCUAGAUAAGCACUCUUUCUUAUUUACUCCAGUAACUGCUUAAACAAAUUUUGUAACUGAUAUUUGAAUACUAUUACAUGUUUGUUUAAAAUCUAAAAAGUACGGCUUUUGAAAAUGUUUAUAAACUUAAGCAUGUUAGUUCCAUUUAUAAAUAUGUAUGAUUUAUAAGCUUUUUUAAAAACAAAGCUCCAAUCAAAAAUGUUGGUAUUUUUCUAAAAUGUGCACAGCUGUAUUUUACAUAAAAGGCUAUUUAUAGUUAGUUGUUAUACUGUACACUACAUUUUGGACAGCUCGUAAGUCUGCCAAUGUACUUAAUGAUAUGUCAUUUUGUCUAUUUAAAAUUUCUUGCUGUGAAUGAACUCUUUAUCUAAUGAGCUUCUUUAUUUAUAAUUCUGGACCCCAAAAUGGAUAAUGUACAGUUUUCAUAACUGUAUUUAUGCUAAUAAAAUGGAAUUGGUUACUAA
Molecule: RNA transcript, 6149 nt
Organism: Hemicordylus capensis (graceful crag lizard)
Lineage: Eukaryota; Metazoa; Chordata; Lepidosauria; Squamata; Cordylidae
Gene: JPH1
Gene name: junctophilin 1
Exons: 8
Source: RefSeq, a predicted model, not a curated record